RNAcentral lists this ribosomal RNA (511 nucleotides) under Pachydactylus oculatus. RNAcentral's name for it is "partial 16S ribosomal RNA". Lineage: Eukaryota; Metazoa; Chordata; Lepidosauria; Squamata; Gekkonidae. The record is from RNAcentral.
CGUAUGACAUUAAUCGUUGAACAAACGAACCUUUGGUAGCGGCUACACCACCGGGGCGUCCUGAUCCAACAUCGAGGUCGUAAACCCCCCUGGCGAUAUGGACUCUUGAGGGGGAUGGCGCUGUUAUCCCUGGGGUAACUUGGUCCGAUUCUCAGUGUUACUGGGUCAAUUUAUGUGACUGCAAGGCUUGUAGGCCUCGUGGUGGAUGGUUAGUCCUGAUUCAUGGAGGUUUUGUUUUUCUCCGUAGUCGCCCCAACUUAAAGCCGGGAGCUAUAAGGGGCUAAUGGUUAUGUCCGGGGUGGACUUGUUUGUCUUUAGGUAGCGGGGGCUUGAAGCUCCACAGGGUCUUUUCGUCUUGUGGUGUUAUUUCAGCUUUUGUACUGAAAGAUCAGUUUCAUUGAUUGGCCGCAGGAGACAGUUGGGCCCUCAGUUAGCCGUUCAUACAAGUCUCUAUUUAGAAGACAAGUGAUUACGCUACCUUUGCACGGUUAUAAUACCGCGGCCGUUGAAU